RNAcentral lists this long non-coding RNA (604 nucleotides) under Homo sapiens (human). RNAcentral's name for it is "lncAB404.1". The record is from RNAcentral. Lineage: Eukaryota; Metazoa; Chordata; Mammalia; Primates; Hominidae.
GCCGAGAUCACGCCACUGCACUCCAGCCUGGGUGACAGAGCAAGACUCUGCCUAAAAAAAAAAGAAAAAAAAAGAAUGGGUCAGACAAACAGGUAGGGGCACAGGACUGGCUUCCUUGGGCUAGCCCUUGAAAUUUAGGGUCCACAUAGAGGUUCAGAGGAUCAAGAUGAAGCUGCCCAGAGAUCAGAGUUCUCAGGCAGUCCAGCCCAACCUAAAUUUAUCCCCAAAGAUAUUUCUGCCGCCAAGUCCACUCACUCCGCUAGAAACAGUGCAAAGUUAGAGGGCUUGACACUGCUAAACACCUCUCAACGGCAGUUAUUGCCCUUUAAUCUCAGCACUAAAUCCAUGUCCUUCUUGAUGCUGUUUAUAGCACGUUUAACAAUUUGAUUAGUUUUAGAAAUCAACCCAGCUGAUGUUACAGUUAGCAGAAUUAAUCAGAGCUUCUAAGCAGCAUUCCACCAUGACUGAGGUGAUAAACAAAUCCCCCUGUCUUCUAAACCCCAAGCCCACUCCAUUUCUAAAUCCUUUUGUGGCUGUUUUCAACAUUCUGAUUGUACAGUUGUGACAGUGGAAUCAUAAAAAUGUCUCAAUGGAUACACACACA